UCGAGUCGCCACCGCACUUCUAUUUAUCCAAAGGAAUGGUUAGAAAGCGAACAAAAACCUAAAAGUUUUAUCGAAUCAAAAACUAGUAAAAAUGUCAGAGAUCUGGGUAAGGGGGUUGGUUAUGCAAUGGGAAGGUGUUAGGCACCCAAAGCAUCCUAGGUACUCCUAGGGAGCCCUUUUCACAUUUGUUGUAAGGUUGUUGUUUUUUUUUGUGAAAAUUUAUUUGUGCAAACAUGAUUGAAGGGAUGAGAAAAGAAUAUACAAAUUUAUUUACAUUUUGUGUUUGAAUGGAUGAACCCAUU
RNAcentral lists this long non-coding RNA (302 nucleotides) under Lathyrus oleraceus (garden pea). RNAcentral describes it as "Pisum sativum (pea) long non-coding RNA (PSAT_LNC014416)". Lineage: Eukaryota; Viridiplantae; Streptophyta; Magnoliopsida; Fabales; Fabaceae. The record is from RNAcentral.